GGGAAGUAAACCGAGCGCUUGGUGAGUGCGGUGGGGCCUGGAGCGCGUGUGAGGGCACACUGUUCGCUUCCCUUUCUGGGGAAGCUGCACUCUGGGAUCCAUGCUUAGCCUCCAGUCUGAUACGGUCCACUCGGGAGUAAGGCGCCCCUGCGGCUGGGCACUGCUGCAGCUCUGCCGGCAGAAGCAGAGCUGCCAGGGUUGGCUGAUUUGUAUCACUGGGGGAAGGUUGGCAUCAGGGACACUUUUAUUCUCUGUGGAAGGAGCAGCAGACCUUUGAGCUGCAGGUAAAGGAAUUUGACUGGAAACUCAACUUUUAAGAAAUAACAAGGAAAAUGGACCUUCUGGCAUCUGGGUGCUCAACAGAGACAGUGGAACACUAUUCUGGCCAGGUUAUAAGGAGGCACAGCACAGGCAGAGUGGAAUAAUAAAAGGAAGCAGAGUAAUAAUGAGAUUUUAUAUAAUGCUCUCUAUCAUGAGUACUUAAAGCUGAAGUUAAUAGUAACCGUGAACUAGCUGCUGUUUCACUAGUUUAGAAAUUACUGAACUGUAGCACUAAUAGUUGUCAAAGUAUGGCAUAAAAAAAAUACUCUGUCACUGAGGUCCUAUGCAUGUAUUAUGUACUGUGGGUAAUGUCAGUAAGAGCUUAGUCAUACCAUACUCUCACAUGAUGUAAUUAAUACAGAGUAAAUGGCUCUGAAAUUUAACACCAGCCAGAGUGUAGUAAUUGUGGAAUUGUCCCAACUCUCAAAGAAUGUGUGAGUGGAUGGUGUUAAUAGCUUGAUCAUGUAGCAGCAAGGGUUUAAACAUAGAUUAUGAAGCAUAUAAUUUGGUUCCUCAAGGGGCAACUAAUUUGACAGCAGGCACCUUGUAGUGGAAGCUGACUUUUUGGUAGAGCUGUGGAACAGGCCAGGUUUUAUUUUUAGGAGCAUAUGAGAUCUGUUGGAUCCUGCAAUUAUUCACGUCUGAUCUGUAGUAUUCCAAGAGCAUUUCCAAGCAUCCUGAUUCACCAGGAUAUGUCUGCUUCUGAUCUUGCUUUAUUUUGGGGUUCAGUGUUUUAAGGAGAAGUACCACUGCUGCAACUACAGCCUACAGCAAGAUCUGUGUCAGAUGUCACAGACUGGCUCUUUAGAAAUCUCACAUACCAGAAGUUUAGGUUUCAGAGGAAUGGCAGGUACUCAGAACUUGCAGAAAUCCUAGCCAAAAUCUUCACUGACCUUAUGUGAGCUGACUGGAAGAGAGAUUCAGAUGUUUUGUCCUUGAGAUCACCAUCCUGAGCCUCAACACCGAAGAUAUUUAAAAUCAGCAGAUGGAUUUCUUACUGUACCAGAUGAAGUAGAACAACUCUAGGUGAUAACAUCUGUGUUGCCUGUGCCUUUGCAUUUGAAGAGUGCUCUCAGGAACACGUGCAAAUACUGCAGGCCCUUUGACCUGCCACGUGCUGACCCCACAGUUGUCUCACAGGCUGACUACAAGGAGCCUUGUCAGUUGUAUCUGCAAGACUGGAGUUGCUCAGGCAUUUGAAGUUGUGGGUGCACCUUCACCCAUAUCUGGGACUGUGUUUACAAUUUCACAGUUUUGGAUCUACCCAAAACUGGACUUCAGAAAGGUCACCAACAGACUUCAAAGAUAAUGUAUGCCCUGACUCAUUUACUUUAGACAGUCCUCUAAAUGGGCACUGACCUCCUGUGUCUUUGUGCUGGACAGUCUCUGUUAAGAAAUCCUGUAACUUGCUGUCUUCUUUUGCACUGCACUGCUGUAUCUUCUCAUUUAGUUAGUAUUAAACUUUUAAUCAAACAUAAUGCUUUAAGGAUCUGGAUCUUGAAAUUUGUUGGCAGAUUCUUUAGUAUUCAUCCUUCUCAUCUGAAAAAUUGCUUAGCUCUCCUAUGGCAGUUAAGACAUAAAAACCUCCCCUGAAUCUGAAUCUUUGGUGGGUACAGAAGUCUGAAGGCUUCUGGCGUUUCUAAUGGCUAUGCUAUUUUGUUUGCUGCUGUCAGCAUUUCUUUUUAUUAACAGAUACUAUGUUUGUUUCUCAUUUAGCCUGGCAGCUUAACGUUUAAAGUAGGUGAGAAUCUGAUUUUACUUACAGAAUACUUCAUUUAUUUAAGGUUUUUUGAAAUGACUUGUUUAAUGGAUGUAUCACACCUUGGCUGAUGAUCUGUCCCUCUUUCUGUGCAAUUACAGUUCUACGCAACAAAGAAAGAGUGGGAUAUGUGUAUCCAGGCAAAACUAAAUCACUUAAGCAGAAAAUAAAGUCUGUUGAAACGCUACAUAAAUGCUGAACAUGCACCUUUUUUAAUUGAGCCUGAUAAACAGAGAGAUUCCCAGCAUAUCCUGAAAGUUUAGUCCCUGGACCAAGUCAAAAAAUGACGCACUACUUGUCAAGGUAAAAUACAAGUUACAAGUCAAACAACUAGUCCUUUUAAGAAACAGUGAAUAUGUGUAAAUUGGCGAUUGUUUUAGAGCUUCUUGGUUUGACUCAAUUCAUAAAUUUAGUUUAUCAGUUAAAAAAUUUGCUGCACCGAGAACUUGAUUGUCACCCUCCUCACAGAGAUGGAACCUUAUGUGCUAAAGUGCAGGCUGACAUAGAAAGCCUUUGAAGUUUACAGUGCUAGUCAGAGAUGUGCCUGUACCCAAGAGCCAAGUCUGUUUAGUGGCAAUUACUAAAUCUGUAAAUACUUUUGAUUCAUAGAAUCAUGAAUCAUGAUUCUGUAAAUACUUUUGAUUGAUGGUUUUAAAGAGAGAGACAAUUCUUGAAUGUCAACUCAC
Long non-coding RNA from Pezoporus occidentalis (night parrot), 2766 nucleotides. RefSeq lists it as uncharacterized. The record is from RefSeq and is a predicted model, not a curated record. The transcript is spliced from 4 exons. NCBI's taxonomy places the organism in Eukaryota, Metazoa, Chordata, Aves, Psittaciformes, Psittacidae.